UACGGAGGUAGAGCACUGAAUGUCCUAGGGGGUAUUGCACCUACCGAAGACUAUCAAACUCCGAAUGCCGUCAUCUUAUACUUGGGAGUCAGACUGUGGGUGAUAAGAUUCAUAGUCGAAAGGGCAACAGCCCAGAUCGUCAGCUAAGGUCCCUAAAUGUAAGUUAAGUGGUAAAGGAUGUGGGAUUGCACAGACAACCAGGAUGUUGGCUUAGAAGCAGCCACUCAUUCAAAGAGUGCGUAAUAGCUCACUGGU
RNAcentral lists this ribosomal RNA (255 nucleotides) under Clostridioides difficile. RNAcentral describes it as "partial 23S ribosomal RNA". It matches the Rfam family "Bacterial large subunit ribosomal RNA", at positions 895 to 1149 of the family's 2925-position model. The record is from RNAcentral. Lineage: Bacteria; Bacillati; Bacillota; Clostridia; Peptostreptococcales; Peptostreptococcaceae.